This 1933-nucleotide unclassified non-coding RNA is filed under the name Hevea brasiliensis (rubber tree). Lineage: Eukaryota; Viridiplantae; Streptophyta; Magnoliopsida; Malpighiales; Euphorbiaceae. The record is from RNAcentral.
AGACAUUUGGAGCCUGUAAAUCUUCUGGCAGCUAGGAAUGAGAGAGAAAGUGUUCAAAUUGCUAUUCGCCCAAAAGUUUCUUGGAGCAGUUCUGGUAAUGCAGGUAUUGUGCAGAUUCAAUGUACUGAUUUAUCCUCCACAUCUGGUGAUCGGUUGGUUGUUGGACAAUCAAUAACGUUUCGGAAAGUGGUUUCCAUAUUGGGUGUCCCAGAUGCUCUUGUGCCUUUAGAUCAUCCAGUUUGUCAGAUAGGCCUAGUUCCUGGAGAAACAACUGCUGUUUGGGUUUCCAUAGAUGUUCCAAGUGUACAGCCACCAGGUCAAUAUGAAGGGGAGUUCAUCGUUACUGCCAUAAAAGCCGAGUCAGAAUCUCAAUCACAGUGCUUGAGCAAAGCUGAGAAGCAUCGACUAUACACAGGACUUAGGGCCUGUCUUGACACUGUGGAGCCUAUUGAAGGAAAACCAUUGGAUGAAGUGGUAGAAAGAGUGAAAUCUGCAACUACAUCUUUAAGAAAAAUUCUUCUGUCUGCAUCAUUUUCUGAAUUCUUUUCAGAUAAUGGGCCAGUUGAUAUGAUGGAUGAAGAUGCCAUUUCAAAUCUCUCAGUUCGUGUGAAGUUAAGUUUAACUGUAUGGGAUUUCAUACUUCCAGCAACUCCUUCACUUCCUGCUGUUUUUGGUAUAUCAGAUACUGUAAUUGAGGAUCGUUUUGGUGUUGAGCAUGGAAGUGAUGAAUGGUAUGAAGCGUUGGAACAGCAUUUCAAGUGGCUUCUUCAGUAUAGAAUAAGCCCAUACUUUUGCAGAUGGGGAGACAGUAUGCGUGUUUUGACUUACACCUGCCCAUGGCCAGCUGAUCACUGGAAAUCAGAUGAAUAUUUGUCUGACCCAAGAUUGGCAGCAUAUGCUGUACCAUACAAUCAAGCAGUGUCUGGUAAUGAUGCAGCGAAGGAUUACUUGCAGAAAGAAAUUGAGAUCUUGAGGACAAAGUCUCAUUGGAAGAAAGCCUAUUUUUACUUGUGGGAUGAGCCAUUGAAUUUGGAGCAAUAUGACUCAGUCCGCAACAUGGCCAGUGAGAUCCAUGCUUAUGCUCCUGAUGCCCGUGUUUUAACUACUUAUUAUUGUGGACCUAGUGAUGCACCACUUGCACCUACACCUUUUGAGGCGUUUGUAAAAGUUCCAAAGUUCCUACGCCCUCACACUCAAAUUUACUGUACAAGUGAGUGGGUGCUUGGUAAUCGGGAGGAUCUGGUCAAGGAUAUUAUCUCUGAAUUGCAGCCAGAGAACGGUGAGGAAUGGUGGACAUAUGUGUGUAUGGGCCCCUCUGAUCCUCAUCCUAAUUGGCAUCUAGGGAUGCGUGGUACUCAGCAUCGUGCUGUAAUGUGGCGUGUAUGGAAAGAAGGUGGAACUGGGUUUCUAUAUUGGGGUGCCAACUGCUACGAGAAGGCUACAGUUCCUAGUGCAGAGAUAAGAUUUAGGCGCGGUCUACCUCCUGGUGAUGGGGUUUUGUUCUAUCCUGGUGAGGUGUUUUCAUCUUCCAGUCAACCAGUUGCUUCACUUAGACUAGAGCGCAUUCUUAGUGGCUUACAGGACAUUGAAUACCUGAAGUUUUACACUUCAAGAUAUGGAAGAGAUAAAGGGCUUUCUCUAUUGGAGAAGACGGGCGUGUAUCUAGGUCCUGAACGUUACACACUUGAGCACAUGCCAAUUGAUGUGAUGAGAGGCGAGAUUUUCAACACUUGCCGACCAAUCCACGAAUAGUCGUUACGUUCCCAGCAAGUUCACUUGGUUUGUAGUCAUAUGUUUGUUUAUACAAUCUUUUUUUAUUCCCAAAAGAUUAAAUAGUUGCACACACAGUUACAAAAUUACUCUUAAUUAUGAAAUUUUGUUUUUGAAGAAAUUAUGAAAUUGUUCUUGUUAUUAAAGAGUGUGUGUGUAUAUA